Molecule: transfer RNA, 72 nt
Filed under: Camelus bactrianus (Bactrian camel)
Lineage: Eukaryota; Metazoa; Chordata; Mammalia; Artiodactyla; Camelidae
Also listed under: 2 other names
Rfam family: tRNA
About the family: Transfer RNA (tRNA) molecules are approximately 80 nucleotides in length. Their secondary structure includes four short double-helical elements and three loops (D, anti-codon, and T loops). Further hydrogen bonds mediate the characteristic L-shaped molecular structure. tRNAs have two regions of fundamental functional importance: the anti-codon, which is responsible for specific mRNA codon recognition, and the 3' end, to which the tRNAs corresponding amino acid is attached (by aminoacyl-tRNA synthetases). tRNAs cope with the degeneracy of the genetic code in two manners: having more than one tRNA (with a specific anti-codon) for a particular amino acid; and 'wobble' base-pairing, i.e. permitting non-standard base-pairing at the 3rd anti-codon position.
Source: Rfam by way of RNAcentral
GAGGGUAUAGCUCAGUGGUAAGAGUUCAUGCUUAGCAUGCAAAGGUCCUGGGUUCAAUUCCCAGUACCUCUA